Molecule: ribosomal RNA, 518 nt
Filed under: Podospora sp. LF78
Lineage: Eukaryota; Fungi; Ascomycota; Sordariomycetes; Sordariales; Podosporaceae
Description: eukaryotic LSU rRNA
Rfam family: 5.8S ribosomal RNA (bases 149-302)
Source: RNAcentral
AUCGGAUUCCUAGCAAUUUGUGGGCUUUGCCCACUGUCUCUUACCCAUGUCUUUUGAGUACUUACGUUUCCUCGGUGGGCUCGCCCCCCGGUUGGACAAUUUAAACCAUUUGCAGUUGCAAUCAGCGUCUGAAAAACAUAAUAGUUACAACUUUCAACAACGGAUCUCUUGGUUCUGGCAUCGAUGAAGAACGCAGCGAAAUGCGAUAAGUAGUGUGAAUUGCAGAAUUCAGUGAAUCAUCGAAUCUUUGAACGCACAUUGCGCCCCUUGGUAUUCCAUGGGGCAUGCCUGUUCGAGCGUCAUUUGUACCUUCAAGCUCUGCUUGGUGUUGGGUGUUUGUCUCGCCUUGCGCGUAGACUCGCCUUAAAACAAUUGGCAGCCGGCGUAUUGAUUUCGGAGCGCAGUACAUCUCGCGCUUUGCACUCAUAACGACGACGUCCAAAAGUACUUUUUACACUCUUGACCUCGGAUCAGGUAGGGAUACCCGCUGAACUUAAGCAUAUCAAUAAGCGGAGGAA